RNAcentral lists this transfer RNA (67 nucleotides) under Purohita sinica. Its description in RNAcentral is "tRNA-Ile". The record is from RNAcentral. Lineage: Eukaryota; Metazoa; Arthropoda; Insecta; Hemiptera; Delphacidae.
AGAAAGAUGCCUGACUAAAGGAUUAUUCUGAUAGAAUAAAGUAAGUAAAUAAAUUUUACUCUUUCUA